Molecule: ribosomal RNA, 1485 nt
Filed under: Psychrobacter sp. B6
Lineage: Bacteria; Pseudomonadati; Pseudomonadota; Gammaproteobacteria; Moraxellales; Moraxellaceae
Description: bacterial SSU rRNA
Rfam family: Bacterial small subunit ribosomal RNA
Source: RNAcentral
ACGCUGGCGGCAGGCUUAACACAUGCAAGUCGAGCGGUAACAGGAGAAGCUUGCUUCUCGCUGACGAGCGGCGGACGGGUGAGUAAUACUUAGGAAUCUACCUAGUAGUGGGGGAUAGCACGGGGAAACUCGUAUUAAUACCGCAUACGACCUACGGGAGAAAGGGGGCAGUUUACUGCUCUCGCUAUUAGAUGAGCCUAAGUCGGAUUAGCUAGAUGGUGGGGUAAAGGCCUACCAUGGCGACGAUCUGUAGCUGGUCUGAGAGGAUGAUCAGCCACACCGGGACUGAGACACGGCCCGGACUCCUACGGGAGGCAGCAGUGGGGAAUAUUGGACAAUGGGGGCAACCCUGAUCCAGCCAUGCCGCGUGUGUGAAGAAGGCCUUUUGGUUGUAAAGCACUUUAAGCAGUGAAGAAGACUCCGUGGUUAAUACCCACGGACGAUGACAUUAGCUGCAGAAUAAGCACCGGCUAACUCUGUGCCAGCAGCCGCGGUAAUACAGAGGGUGCAAGCGUUAAUCGGAAUUACUGGGCGUAAAGGGAGCGUAGGUGGCUCGAUAAGUCAGAUGUGAAAUCCCCGGGCUCAACCUGGGAACUGCAUCUGAUACUGUUGAGCUAGAGUAUGUGAGAGGAAGGUAGAAUUCCAGGUGUAGCGGUGAAAUGCGUAGAGAUCUGGAGGAAUACCGAUGGCGAAGGCAGCCUUCUGGCAUAAUACUGACACUGAGGCUCGAAAGCGUGGGUAGCAAACAGGAUUAGAUACCCUGGUAGUCCACGCCGUAAACGAUGUCUACUAGUCGUUGGGUCCCUUGAGGACUUAGUGACGCAGCUAACGCAAUAAGUAGACCGCCUGGGGAGUACGGCCGCAAGGUUAAAACUCAAAUGAAUUGACGGGGGCCCGCACAAGCGGUGGAGCAUGUGGUUUAAUUCGAUGCAACGCGAAGAACCUUACCUGGUCUUGACAUAUCUAGAAUCCUGCAGAGAUGCGGGAGUGCCUUCGGGAAUUAGAAUACAGGUGCUGCAUGGCUGUCGUCAGCUCGUGUCGUGAGAUGUUGGGUUAAGUCCCGCAACGAGCGCAACCCUUGUCCUUAGUUACCAGCGGGUUAAGCCGGGAACUCUAAGGAUACUGCCAGUGACAAACUGGAGGAAGGCGGGGACGACGUCAAGUCAUCAUGGCCCUUACGACCAGGGCUACACACGUGCUACAAUGGUAGGUACAGAGGGCAGCUACACAGCGAUGUGAUGCGAAUCUCAAAAAGCCUAUCGUAGUCCAGAUUGGAGUCUGCAACUCGACUCCAUGAAGUAGGAAUCGCUAGUAAUCGCGGAUCAGAAUGCCGCGGUGAAUACGUUCCCGGGCCUUGUACACACCGCCCGUCACACCAUGGGAGUUGAUUGCACCAGAAGUGGGUAGCCUAACCUUUUAGGAAGGCGCUCACCACGGUGUGGUUGAUGACUGGGGUGAAGUCGUAACAAGGUAGCCGUAAGCUUG